Ailuropoda melanoleuca (giant panda) is the source of this 2836-nucleotide long non-coding RNA. RefSeq lists it as uncharacterized. The transcript is spliced from 6 exons. NCBI's taxonomy places the organism in Eukaryota, Metazoa, Chordata, Mammalia, Carnivora, Ursidae. The record is from RefSeq and is a predicted model, not a curated record.
CUGUGGGCUGUUUGGUUUCAUACUUCCCUGUCGGUCCUCUUCUGUGAAUGUGAGUUAACAAGCGGACUCCAGGCCCAGCUGGAGGCCCUGCAGCCGUCCUUCCCCAUCCAGGCCUGAACGUGCGCUGACUCCUGGGCUGGGCUCCCUCGUGCUGUGGAGGCUGGCCGGACAGUGGAGAGUACCUAAAAUAUGGCUCUUACACCAACUCCUCUUUACCAGGGAGUCAUGCUGCUGGUAGGAAGUGGUGUCUCUCUUUCUGAUGUAGAACUCUCCAGAAACCCUUGGACAGGUGGAUCCAGGCAUUCCUGGGGCUGGCUGUAAUAUCAGCAGACACUAGAAGCUUCCCCAACCAACUUGUUGGAUCAACUCCAUGGACAGACCUGGCGUUCCCCAUUCCCUCCGUAAGACAAACACAACAGUGGCCUCGGCUCCCAGAGCUGGAGGUGAUGCCUGGCCCCUUCUCUUCCCAACCAUUGAGUUGUUUGCUUAUUCUCUUGGCUAAUACCUUUUAUAACACUUGUAUCAGUAUAAUUGCAUGAUUUAGUUUUGUAUUCAGUAAAUGGAUGAAGAAAGAGGAUUUCUUCUCUAAAACUAAGUUGAGUGUUUGAGAAAGUUACAUGAAAGUGACUUGCUAAAGCAAUCAUUGUCAUCAAAUCGGGUGAGAAGUAAACAACAAGAAAUGGUCAAGUAGAAAAUUGUGGGAAAUCCACAAGGAGUCUGCAUGCUGGUUGUUUUGCAAGUGUUUUCCAUUUUUGUUCAAGUUUAAAGAAAACAGAAGUAGAGAUGAAACAUUGCUGAAGUCAGUUUGGCGAGAGAAAGGAUAACUCAUGGAUUUCCAUUUCUUUGGGGUGAGUUAUUGUGAAAUUAUUAUGUUCCUUUGGUGUCAUGUUUCCUUGCUUUCUCAUGUUUCUAGUCACUCUGCACUGAUGCCUGCACAUUUGAGGGACCAGUCACCUCUUCCAGCCUUUUGCAACCGGCAUCAGUGAGAAAAAAACUUUCACCUGAAGGUGGUUGCAAGGGUUCCAGGUGGGUGAGAUAUGGUAUCUCUGGUGCCAAGGACAGCACAGUGACACGGCCUCUAGUUUCUGUAAAGCUGUGUCAGCUGAGGUCAAUCUUGGUGAAUACUCAAGGGGUCUCUGGUGACCAAGAGUGCAGAGGUCCUACGGGUGGCAGUGAUGGCUGGGGCUCUUGGGAUCCUCAGUGACAAAGGCUGCUGAGGUCCUUCUGUUCUCCUUUUUGUUCACUGGGGAAGCUGCAGCCAAUGACCUCCCUCAUGGUACCAGGUCUGGCACGCUAACAGAGUGGCCGCGGUGCUGGGGUCCCACAGCACGGGUGCACUUGCUGCAGAGGUGACACCAGUGUCUGAAGUGCAGUCAUCACAGGGACUCAGGCUCGUAGGGGGAAGCUGGGGUAUGGGGGGGGCACAUCUGUGGUGUAGGCCCAGGGAGGACAGGGUGCAGCACUAACCCAGGCCUACGGUGCAGGGUGCAGCAGCAGCAGACCCUGGGGUUGGUGAGUCGGAGUCCCGUCUCUGGCCCCAGGGGGCAGAUUGCUGAGCGAGAGCAUCUUGGCCCUGGUGACAGAGUCUUGUCUGUAAUUCGAGACCCAGGUGACAGAGCACAAAGUAGCAGUGGCAGCAGCUCAGCCCGUGACGACGAGUCAAACCCUGACUCAGAGCCCGGAGCACAGCGGCUGAACGGAGUCCUGGUGAGAGUCCACUAGAGCCACAUGUCGAGACCCAAGCUUCCGGUUGGGAAGGCUGAGAAAGGCAGGGCUAGACCGGCCUGACCAGGGCACUACAAAGAAGCCAGGAGAGAAGCAAGGUGCGAGUCUGUCAAGCCGGGAGUUAAAGUGGGAUCCUCUCCUGAGACAAUAGAAGAUGCUGCCAUCAGAAGAAAUAAGGGGGAAAAAAUGCCAGACCACCAGAGUCCAAAAUGGCUAGGCUAUCCCUUGGCAUCCAUAAAUCCAUCAAUCUCCGUGGCUUGACACAAGAGAAGGUUUGAUUCUCAUUCACACAAAGUCCGUUGGGAAGACGAGUCUACAGGGCAUCUCUCCUCCAUCAGGCACAUUCUAUGGCCUUUCCAGGGUCAGAAAAAUGCAUGGCCUGUCUAAAGUCAUCAGCCAGGUCACUGUGUCAGAAACAGGAUGAGAAUCAGUAUGUGGCUGCUUGUGCUUUUCCUAUGCACACACGAGGUCAAGAGAUCUUUCCAUUAGACAAUGGGCCCCUUGCAGUGUGUGCAACUGGGAUCGCUGCUUCUCACUUUCUUCCACUAUCCAGUAGACGAGCUCUGUGGAAUACCGAACACCUGAAUGAGAAGUAAAAAUGUCAUGAAUAACUGCAUCACGUCUCAGAUGUGAAUUGGGGCUAAAUUACUUGACUCUUAUGAACACAUGCUCAUGUGAAGAAAAUGUUUAUUUCUCUCUUUAUUUCAGGACUUCUACCCCAAACACAAACGUACUAUGUUGAAAGAUUCAUUUGUUAAGCUUCUACGCAUAAAACACCAGAGAUUUCCAGAAAGUAGAUCCUUUGGGAUAAUCCUUAUGAGCUCCCUUGGGGCUCCUGGGUACAUAUGACCAGAGGAGUUAAUGAUGCAGCAAAUGGAGACUCCUACAGCAUCCUAGGGAAUUCAAGCAGCUGUGACUAAUAGAGUUAUACACAAGAGACACCAAAGUGUUUCCAUAUCGUAUUUAGAGGAAAUCUUCAAUUUGCUAGAAUAUUUAGAAAUGGAAUUUUCUCAUUGAUUUUGUUCCUGUUUAAGUGCCAACUAGAAACACCCGAUUUUUUGUUUUACCUUUGUCUUUGAAAGUCUUCCUAAAAUAAAAAUAUUUCAAAGGA